GCAGUUUGGCAGUGUCCGUACUGGGCACAGCUGUCAGCAUCUCUUUGCCUUCAUUUCAGAGAAAUCAGAUGCUAUUGGCAACAGAUCAGAAGGCAAGCCAGACAUAAUUAGGGUUUCUCUUUAGCAAAGAAGAAAUAGAAAGAUCAUCCUUCAGACCUUCCCUCUACCCCAGCUGUUUUGGGGGCAGUUUCUUCAUUUCACUGAUGAAGAAAAAAAAAAUCACAUUUUUUCUUUAUUAUUUUUUUUCCUAUUCUCAUGUCCAAGCUCACAGUGGGGGAAAUAGAAUUGUCCCAUUUUUAUUACUUUACUUGCUGUUUUAGCACAAUGCUGUGCUUGAAGUUAGAGUACAAAGAGACAGCUUUACACAGAAGGCGUCUGCCCCGCCUGCUGGGAACACACACUCCACAUCCACAUCCCGGAGCCUCGGACUGAGAAUCAACUUAUUAUCUUUUAUCAAAGAGCCCAUGUGGAGUGCCAGAGGUUCAAUGCAGAUGUCAGCAGUCUCUGACGUUUGAAAAGAUGACCAGAAUAAAAAGAAACAACCCUCUCAGGCUCAGUAGGAACAGAAGCAACCUAGAACUUCCACGAUCAGUGGCUCAGGCUGCAAAACUCGCAUGUCUAAGCGAGGUCACAUUCUAAGACACUGGACUUCAACACAUCCUUGUUGGAAGACAUAAUGCAAACUAUAGCAAUCAAGAAACAGUGUUCAAGACACGCUUUUAAGUAAAAGUUGGAAUGAAGCAUGGGGACUUGAUAACUCAGAAUUCUGGCUCCUUGAAUAAAGAACCCCAGGAGUCAUCCUGUGAAUGAUCUCCAAACGAAACUGUGAAAUACAGUGGACAUGGACUUUACACCACAUCAGAAUCAGAUGCUAAACCGGUCCCUCUGGAGAUCACACCAUCCUUCCAGUGCUAGGUUUGCAUCUGGAAGGUUGGGUAUUUGGUACAGAGGGACUGGACCCAGAAGAUGUGCAAAUAGGUGUGGCUAACUCUAAUCAGGUGAUCCUGGGUGGUCCAAGAAAGCAAGAGGAACAAGCACUGAGGAACAAGUCAGACCAUGAGCUAUUGGAUAGUGCUGUCUGUGUUCAGGGUUGGUCUUCCUUCCUCUGGAAACAGCCUCACAGACAUAUCCAAAGGGAUGCCUCCCAAAUCAUCCCAACUCUAAUCGAGCUGAUAAUGAAGAUUCACCAUCACAGUAAUCCAGUUAAAAUGAAGCUAUUAGGAUGAACCCUACUUUACUAUGACUGGCAUUUUCAUCAGAAGGGGAAGAGAAACCUGGGAUAGAUCAUUUUCUUGUAGUCCUCAGAAAGAACCAAUACUGUCAAUGUCUGGCUUUUGCCUCUAGCCUCCCAAAUGUGAAGAGAAUAAACCAUUUGGUCUGAGGAACUUCACUGUUGAGUAAAGUAAUAUAACCAUGCCAUGCAACUCAGGGUUCAAUCACAUCGCGUGCAGUGUCUAGAGAUCAUUAAUCUUGAUCUUAACUACAUGUAGUCUAACAUAAUGCUUCCUACACUCAUAAGAAUGGCUGAGGACUGCCUGGUCUGGCCUCAGUGAGAGAAGACACACCUAACCCUCAUGGGACUUGAGGCCCUAGGGAAUGGAGAGGUCUGGUGGGGUUGGGGGGAUAGGGACAUCCUCUUGGAUACUGGGGAGGAGGAAUAGAAUGAGGAACUGCUGGAGGGUAGACUGAGAGGAGGAUAGUGCUGGACUAUAAAAAAGAUUUAAUAAUAAUAAUAAUGAUAAUAGAUUGAGACUGUUUAAUAAACCACAAAGCCCCAAGUCUCUGUAAUGCAAGUUUGAAAAUUGUAUAGGUAUUAGGUUGACCAAGAAUUCUCAAGGUGGGGUCACUCUUGUAGCUAUCUUCUGAAGAGUGCACCAGCCUAGUCUAGUGGUUCACCUAUGGUAGAUGUUCAAUAAAACCAAAGGAGCUUAGUUUAAGAAUUCUGGACCAGCUAAGAAUCCAACAGACAAGUAGUUAUUCAUCUCAUUCUCUGCUUCUUAAUGGGAAAUAUACAGGGAGUAUUGUGAUGACUUAUUUUGGAUGUCAAUUUGACAAACCUGGGAAGAAGGACCCUCAACUGAGGACAUGCCUACAAUGGAAUGACCUGUGGGCAUGUCUGUAGGGGCAUGAUUUUUGGUUGUGAAUUGAUAUAGAAUGAACCAGUACACUGUGGGUGGUGCCUUCCUUUGCCGGGUAGGCCUAGGCUAUAUAUGAUGAGUCUUACUGUGAGUCUGGGAGCUAGCCCAAUAAGCAGCAUUCAUUUGUGGACUCUGUUUCAGUUCCUGUCUCCAGGUGCCUGCCUCGAAUUCUCCUAGUGAUAGGCUGUAGCCUGUAAGCUUUCCUCCUCAAGUAGUUUUUGGUCAGAGUGAUUUUAUUAUCAUGACAGCAAAGAAGCUAGAGCAGAUAUAUAGACUUCAUGUUUUUGGAGAGCAUGUUAUGUUACGUGUAUUUUGAUACAGAGUUUGCAUCAGUGGUCUGCCCAGAGCAAGGUAUCAUUGGAAGCAGAACACUUUUUUUAAAAAACAAAGUUAAUCCAAUGGUGUUGAGCAGGGAAGGUUUUGAAGGAUAGGAGUAAUUGCUGCAGCCAGAUGUCUACCGCUGCAUGUGAUUGAAAAUGGUGGUUGGGUCAGAGAAUGCUAAUCAUCCAUGAAGUGGGCUUGCCACGACUCUGACACCAUGUCCCCUGGUGCACUCGGCAGUAGGUGCAUCUUUGCUGAAUGAAUACAAAGUGAACUUGACGGGAAAGGAGACCUCGGCAGUCCUACAAAGACAAUUUUGCAAGCUGUCUGCCUGUGGAGUUGGUGGAGUGUUUGCUCUGGAAGAAACAGCUGACGUCAACUCUGCUCUCUUUGUAUCUCAAGGGCAGAGUUAGCCGUGCCUCUGGCCUGUGCGACACCCACAGAGGGAAGAAUGGCGUCCAGAGGGAAAGGUUAAAGAACGGGUCAGCUGGGCGCCUGUGCUCCCUGCCCCUCCCUCCCUCUGUUUGUCAUCUUUCUGGCAAGGUGAACUCAAUGCGCAGUAAUUCCUUCUGACUUUCUGAGAGCUGUGGAAUACACAAGUGUAAGAAAAGUCAUUCCAGCACUAACAGCAUUAGCUUGGCUUUGUAACCCGAUCACUUCGGCCAGAGAGAAUAAAGAAUCGGGGCCAUGUAGAGGGGGCAAGAGGUAAAAGAUAAAUGAGGAGUUUUCACUGCUGAACCAUCAGGAGUAAGUGUGGAUGUAUGUGCGCUUUGUUUAAAUCACAGAGGUUUCUUUUCCCUUGGAAGAGGCCUGUCCAAUAUGAACCGAGGAUGCAUUUUAUUUUCCUUGUAGCCCUGAGUAGCAGUCUUAAGGUUUUGCAUAUAUGUAGUUAUAAACAUCUCAGGGAUUAAAAAUAUCCUGGAGAUCUUAUCACCACAAGCAAAGGCAAGGACUGUAUUAUUACUGCAUAGUCUAGACACAUGGAAUUUCUCAUUCAAUCCAGAGAAGCAGGAUAGUUCAGCGGGAUGAGGGGUGGUGUUAAGAACAAACCCCAGGUUUCAUUUCCAAUGAUUUGUUAGAGGGGCUUGAAGAAAUCUUAUGGAGCCUAAUUGUUCUCUCUGAUAAUUCCAUAUGGACCUAAAAACCUCCAUCACAAGUCAACAGGUGUGACAGAUUGUGUUCACUUUUGCCUGUGUGUGUUGUGUCAGUCCUUCAAGUCUCCAAAACAUCAGGUCUGUGUGUGUUUGGAUAUUCAACUUCAUGUUAUAUGAAUAUCUUAAUGAUUCAGAUCACAAAGUGAAAAUACUGUGAAUGGCCAAGCCACAAAUCUUGGAUUUUAGUUGUAGCUGGUAUUAGAUGUGGGACCCCAGGCAACUUCUAAAAGUUCUCUGAUCUUCCAUUUUCUUAUGUAAAUAGAUGGAGAGACCAAAGAGUGACUGAAGUUUAGACAUUUUGCGUCCUCAGUGGGGAGUGAUGGAGAGUGAGGUUUGCUUAGAGAAGGUCUGUGCUAGGUCCCUGUGCUUCACUAGUUAACAGGUAUACAUGUGUCUAUGUGAUUUGUUAUAAGGAUAAUAAGAACCACUGCUGCAUUCACAAAACCUAUGCUUUUGCCAAGGCAGGCAAACAUCAUAGCUAUUUUGUUUGAGGAACAAGGGACACCGUAGUAAACCUUCCUAGGACCACAUUCCAUUAUCUCCCUGUGCUAAGGUAGAGAAGACACUACCUAUUUCACAGAACAGGCUCACAGUACAGUCACAACACACAGCUGUUUGCUUUCCCCUUCACUGGGUUUCCUUCCUUGGGUUCACUGACCUUGCCUCCCAAUCUCACUGUAGAAGCAAAGUAAGGACAGGCUGAAGCUACUGAGUCAAAAUGCAGGUGGUUGUGUGUCUGGAGAAGGAAUAAGAGCAGCCACCACUUUUAACUACCCAACACACAAAAUGUCAUUGAGGAAUGGGGCCUCCAAGAACGGCAAAAAUCUAGCUUUCCUAGAAGUGUACACGGCACCUGGGCAUGUGACAGGAAGUGUGUAAAAAUGCUUUUGCCACUACUGAAUUCUUCCAGUUUAGAUAAUAGUAAAGAUAAGAAAAACAGCAUGGAUUUAAGUAUGGAUAGAUAUUGUGAGGUUUUCAUGAUAAAUUAGAGAGUGUCUAGUGACUCGUUGGUAAAAAUGAUUGACAUUGGCUUCUUGAGGAUCUUGUAUUUGAAUCUCAUGAUAGCAUUUUAUUUAUUGUCCUUUCUAUGUUAGGCACUAAUCUGCAUCACAGAGAAAAAAAAAAAGAAAUCUAUCUAAGUCCAUUUAGGAAACCAUGAAAAAGGACAUGACAGAGAGCCAUCAUUGGCACUUAUUGAUUAGUUAUUAGUCAGUGAUGACUAUUAACUAGUGACGAGUACCAUGGUAACCACAGUGGAGACAUGCACAGUCACUAAGGGAGGUAGCUAUAAUGCAUGCAAGGAGGUGGUAAAGAAUAAGUUUCUCAAAAGAUGAAGACACAGCCCUAGGAGGGGAUUGUUGUUCCUCCUUGUCUCCUUACAUGAGAAGAGAAUGCUUGGUAUGCGCAAUCCCUUAAGGAAUCACAGAUAGAGAGGGAAAGGAGUAUAGAAUAAAAAUGCAUGUUCAGUCAUGAAUC
Long non-coding RNA from Mus musculus (house mouse), 5089 nucleotides. RefSeq annotates it as predicted gene, 32005. Lineage: Eukaryota; Metazoa; Chordata; Mammalia; Rodentia; Muridae. The record is from RefSeq and is a predicted model, not a curated record. The transcript has 6 exons.